This 5555-nucleotide long non-coding RNA is filed under the name Homo sapiens (human). RNAcentral's name for it is "HSALNT0027768". Lineage: Eukaryota; Metazoa; Chordata; Mammalia; Primates; Hominidae. The record is from RNAcentral.
UUUCCAUGCCUGUCACAAAUGUGAAUUCUCCCACUAGAGAAAGCAGAAAUUGCAGAAACUGAGCCCAAGAAUCUGAAAGCAUUUGAAAACCGCUUCCCCAGGUAUAUGUGGCCCAGCCUGAAGUGGAAACACCUGUGAAAGCAUGGACAAUGUUGGCAAGUCCUGGUGCAUCUCCUCUAUUUGAUUUAGCUGAACUGAGACAUAUAUGCAAGGUGAUUAGAGUCUUACGAUUACUCUCAGUGUGACAACAAUUUUUAAAAAUCACACCUUCAUAAGAUCUGUGAAAUUUCACUGAAGACCACAGCCAAGAUACCAUCUCAUCAAUAAAAUUCUAUUUCUGAAAUUUAAUUUAUUUUUUAAACCCUCUUUUAUACGAGAGAUGAAACAAAUAUGAGAAAGUUGUCAUUGGCUUUAACCUAAUACCUUUACACCAAGCUAAAUUGCCUAUAGUCUCUGGUGGUUGCUGCCCAAGAGAUCCAGCCUUUUCCAGUCUGGCUCCUUUAAGCAAUUUUCUUGACCUUUUGGAUUUCCUCUGACUUUGUUAUCACAGUUUGUCUUAUUUAAGGGUUUACAUGGAAAAAGAAUCUUGGUGUUUUUUCUUUAGUCCCCAUAUCUACAGAUAUAACAGGUUCGAUUUCCUUAGAUUUAUUGCCAUGUGUUCCCAAGCACAGGCAUGUGUAUAUCUGCUCCUCAACUUUGACAAUUUGGGGAAAUAUGAUCCAACAUCAGCCUUUAGAGCCUAAAACUCGAAGUAUAAUAAUAAUAAAAUAAAAAUAAAAUAAAAUAAAAAUAUUUUUAUUACACUAUAAAAUGGACAAAAAUUUACAAUAUUGGUAUUUGUUGUAGAGUAAAAUAAGAAAACUGAUGGUUUCAGGAUUUGAUUUUUUUUAAAGUAGUAGGUGACCUGUACAGAAGUCCUAUGUGAGCUCAUCAUACGAGACUUACAAAAGACAUUAGGAUGAAAAAAUAAGUGUUUUAUCCUUUAUUGGCCACCAACUUUUACCUUCUAAAGAAGUUAGAGAAGCUGAGAAUAGAACAGAAGAAGAGGAUAUGAGGGCCCACAGCACCCCAAGCCUAGGGAAAGUGGCUUUCAGUAAACAACAUGGAUAAUAAUAACAUGCUUGUUUCCUGAAGUUUGGAAGGCAGAGGGGAUGAGUAUUAGAUCCACAGGCAGAGACAGAGAAAUCUACAUGGAGAGAAUACAUCUUGCUAGUUAGGCUUAUAACAAAGCAAGUCACUGAAGUGGGAUUGUCCAGAGCUCUGAGUUUGUCAAAGAAAAAAAAAGUGAGAAUGUCUGUCAUGAAUCAGUUGUGCUCUGUACAAAGGGCAGAAGAUUCCAUCCAAACAAGGCACUUGGUGGGCUGAAGGACCUAAGCACACAGAAUGUGCCCUGCUGAAUGUUUAGAAGCUACAGAAGGAGUAGUCCGUGGCCAUACAGAAGGAAAUAUAUUUGCCAGCAUUAAGAGAACACUACAUGUGUUCCCUGGUGGGGAAAGGUUUAAGAAGAUCAACAAACAUGCUCCUGUGUGAGAAAGAGUAACCAAACACCUGCUAAGCCCAGGGAGACUGAAACCAACUCACACCACCAAUCAAUUGGAACUUUCUGACACCGUUUGUUGCCUCCCAUCACCAUUUUCCCAUCAGAACCAUUAGAUAAGCCCACCUUUAAAACAAGUUCAAUUUUUAAAUUUACACCAGAAAUGGAUUGUUUAUUAUAUUUAGGCUUUUCCUUUGGGGGUUGUUGGAUUUAAGUCAUCAGGCUUGUUGGUAGAUAUGUAUCUACUUGUAACUUUAUUUUUUACCAUAAUCAUGUACCAUUUUGUUUUCAAAUAUAGCUUUUAAAAUAUUGUAAACAUUGCCUGGAAAAAAUGUGUAGCACUGCUUUACUAUGUAUGAGUUGGUUAGUCACACCAUUCAAACACCCCUAUGUCUUGUCUCUCAGUCAAAUAUUAAAAAAACAGUACACACACAGUUACUACUGGUGAAAUAUGUACAUAUGUUGAACACAAUCUAAUCAUAUUUAUUAGAAUCAGGCUAAAUGUAAUAGUUUUUAAUUUUUUGAAUUAAAUUUGUCAAUUAUUAAGUAUUAUCAUUUAAAUUAUCUUAUUUGAUAGUAGCAACAGCCCUGUGGAAAACUGUAUCCCUUUCUAGGCUUAUAAUUUGUUUGUUUCUAUUCAGGGACCUAAAACUCAGAGAUAUUAGGGACUGUACAAUGUUUGCUAUUGUACUGUGUCCUUUUGAUACCCAAUGCAGAUUUCUAUCUUCAAAAAUUUUGCAAUAUUGCAUUAACUGUAUUAAUGUGAAGUAAAACAAUACUAAGGAAAUGUAUUGAUUUUAUUGUCAUAUUAAAAAUUAAGUGGUUAUUAUUAUACAUACCCACUCAGUUUUUGUGCAUGUGUAUACAUAUAGAGUAUAUUUAUAGCAAAGACAAUUCUUUAGGUUUUUAAAAAUUGGUUUUGCUUUUUUCGUGUUGUCUUAACUUUGUAUCAUCAUUUCAGUGCUCUUUUCAUAAGAUAACAUCAGCUCUCCACAGAGGAAUCCUAAUAGGAUAAAGAGAUGAGUGUACUUAGAUGGAACUCAUAUUGUCUGGGGACUUUCUGCAAAAGCCAGAUGUGGCAUGGAACCUCUCUGAAUUACCACUUAUGCAAUAUUACAACAUAUUGUCAGGGAAUGCUGUGCUACAAAAUUAAAACAGUUUAAAAAAUUCAGUAAGGAAAGAUGCCAAGCAUGCUUAUGCUGAAGCCAAGGGUCACAAGGAAAAAAGAUCAAAACAUAAUGGCAGGUCAAUCACUUAUUUUUUUAUUUAAUCAUUUGUUUAUUGUUAAUUCAUAUAUUCCCUAAUUCAUCCAACCAAUAUUUAUUGAUAAUCCACAAUAUAUGAGAUAUUAGAGAUAAGGAGAUCAUAAAAGAACAAAUAGCAAAAGCAAAUAGACAAUCAUUCAACAAAACUACCGCUGACCUAUGCUUUCAAGGAGGCAAACAAGAAAACAGAUAAAAAAUGUAUCCAUAGCAAAGACACAUACUUAAUUAUAUAUUUUUGGACACGGAUAAUGCAUGUAAGCUGUAGAACAAUACCUUUGUUUGUUGAUUUGAAAUGCAUUUUUCUACUACAAGAGAUGUCACUUUUUCUACAUAAUUUUUUUUAAUUAAUUUUUUUCAAAUGCUUAGUUAUAUGUUUUUAAUACAUCUCAAAGGAAAACAGAAAUACCACAAGAAAAAAGCAUUAUGAACAGUGAUCCUCAAGAAUUUAUAAUCAUUAGACAUAACUCUAAUGGGCAAAAUUUUUACCCACAUGGAAGUAACUUUAAGCAAGUCAUUUGUUCUUGUUAUGAAAAAUCUGUUCUGGGUGAUCUGAAAGAAUCUUGGGUUUUGUGGUUAGGCUGCCUAUUUAGAAUUUAAAUAAAUGUUUUCACUCAACCGUAUUGAAUUUUAAGAUAACAGACAGAGAGCCAAAUCAUGAGUGAACUUCAUUCACAAUUGCUACCAAGAGAACAAAAUACCUAGGAAUACAACUUACGAGGGAUGUGAAGGACCUCUUCAAGAAGAACUGCAAACCAUUGCUCAAGGAAGUAAGAGAGAACACAAAUAAAUGGAAAAACAUCCCAUGCUUACGGAUAGGAGGAAUCAAUAUGAAAAUGGCCAUACUGCCGAAACAAAUUUGUAGAUUCAAUGCUAUCCCCAUUAAGCUACCAUUGAAUUUCCUCACAGAAUUGAAAAAAAAAAAAAAAAAAAAACUACUUUAAACUUCAUUUGGAACCAAACAAGAGCCCACAUAGCCAAGACAAUCCUAAGCAAAAAUAACAAAGCUGGAGACAUCAAACUACCUGACUUCAAACUAUACUACAAGGCUACAGUAACCAAAACAACAUGGUACUGCUACCAAAACAGAUAUGUAGACAAAUGGAACAGAACAGAGGUCUCAGAAAUAACACCAUACAUCUAUAACCAUGUGAUCUUUGACAAACCUAACAAAAACAAGCAAUGGGGAAAGGAUUCCCUAUUUGAUAACUGGUGUUAGGAAAACUGGCUAGCCAUAUGCAGAAAACUAAAACUGAACCCCUUCCUUACAUCUUAUACAAAAAUUAAGUCAACAUGGAUUAAAGACUUACAUGUAAGACCUCAAACGACAAAAAUCCUAGAGGAAAACCUAGGCAAUACCAUUCAGGACAUAGGCAUGGGCAAAGACUUCACGUCUAAAACACCAAAAGCAAUGGCAAAAAAAAGCCAAAAUUGGCAAAUAGGAUCUAAUUAAACUAACGCGCUUCUGCACAGCAAAAGAAACUGUCAUCAGAGUGAACAGGCAACCUACAGAAUGGGAGAACAUUUUUGCAAUCUAUCCAUCUGACAAAGGGCUAAUAUCCAGAAUCUACAAAGAACUUAAACAAAUUUACAAGAAAAAAAAUAAACAACCCCAUAAAAAGUGGGCAAAGGAUAUGAACAGACACUUCUCAAAAGAAGACAUUUAUGCAGCCAAUAAACAUGAAAAAAAGCCCAUCAUCACUGGUCAUUAUAGAAAUGCAAAUCAAAACCACAAUGAGAUACCAUCUCAUGCCAGUUAGAAUGGCGAUCAUUAAAAUGUCAGGAAACAACUGAUGCUGGAGAGGAUGUGGAGAAAUAGGAACGCUUUUACACUGUUGGUGAGAGUGUUAAUUAGUUCAACCAUUGUGGAAGACAGUGUGGCGAUUCCUCACGGAUCUAGAACUAGAAAUACCAUUUGACCCAGCAAUCCCAUUACUGGGUAUAUACCCAAAGGAUUAUAAAUCAUUCUACUAUAAAGACACAUGCACACGUAUGUUUAUUGCAGCACUGUUCACAAUAGCAAAGACUUGGAAUGAACCCCAAUGCCCAUCAAUGUUAGAAUGGAUAAAGAAAAUGUGGCACAUAUACACCAUGGAAUACUAUGCAGCUGUAAAAAAAGAUGAGUUCAUGUCCUUUGCAGGGACAUGGAUGAAGCUGGAAACCAUCAUUCUCAGCAAACUAACAUAAGAACAGAAAACCAAAACCAUAUGUUCUCACUCAUAAGUGGGAGUUUAACAAUGAGAACACAUGGACACAGGGAGGGGAACAUCACACACCGGGGCCUGUCAGGGACUGGGGGGCUAGGGAAGGGAUAGCAUUAGGAGAAAUACCUAAUGUAGAUGAUGAGUUGAUGGGUGCAGCAAACCACCAUGGCACGUGUAUAUGUAUGUAACAAAACUGCACGUUCUGCACAUGUACCCUAUAACUUAAAGUAUAGUAAAAAAUAAAAUAACAAAAUAAAAUAUACACACAAAAGAAGCAAUUUAGGUAAACUUUUCAAUGUUGUUUAUACAUUGUGUAACUAUUACAAAUUUAAGAUUAAGAUAAUUAAGAGGAUAUUAAGAAGGUAAUUUCCAUCACUCUGUACAUACUCUUUGUGUGACUUCACAGUCUCUAGAAAUUACAUUUGCCUUUUCUAGAGUUUCAUAUAAAUGGGUUCACAAAAUAUACACUCUGGUCUAUGGCUCCUUCACUCAGCAUGUUUCAGAAAUUCAUCCAUGUUGUUGUUAUCAUUCACUACCUCCAUUAUUCAGCAC